RNAcentral lists this ribosomal RNA (427 nucleotides) under uncultured bacterium. RNAcentral's name for it is "bacterial SSU rRNA". It matches the Rfam family "Bacterial small subunit ribosomal RNA", at positions 28 to 445 of the family's 1533-position model. The record is from RNAcentral.
GAUGAACGCUGGCGGCGUGCUUAACACAUGCAAGUCGAACGAAGAUGCCGGAGUGCUUGCACUUUGGCAGACUGAGUGGCGGACGGGUGAGUAACGCGUGGGUAACCUGCCUUAUACAGGGGGAUAACAGUUGGAAACGACUGCUAAUACCGCAUAAGCCCACGGCUCGGCAUCGAGCAGAGGGAAAAGGAGCAAUCCGCUUUGAGAUGGCCUCGCGUCCGAUUAGCUAGUUGGUGAGGUAACGGCCCACCAAGGCGACGAUCGGUAGCCGGACUGAGAGGUUGAACGGCCACAUUGGGACUGAGACACGGCCCAGACUCCUACGGGAGCAGCAGUGGGGAAUAUUGCACAAUGGGCGAAAGCCUGAUGCAGCGACGCCGCGUGAGUGAAGAAGUAUCUCGGUAUGUAAAAGCUCUAUCAGCAGGGA